Molecule: ribosomal RNA, 485 nt
Filed under: uncultured bacterium
Lineage: Bacteria
Description: bacterial SSU rRNA
Rfam family: Bacterial small subunit ribosomal RNA
Source: RNAcentral
GCAGUCGAGCGGACCGAUGGGAGCUUGCUCCUUUAGGUUAGCGGCGGACGGGUGAGUAACACGUGGGCAACCUGCCCUGCAGACUGGGAUAACUUCGGGAAACCGGAGCUAAUACCGGAUAACACCGAAAACCGCAUGGUUUUCGGUUGAAAGGCGACUUUUAGCUGUCACUGCAGGAUGGGCCCGCGGCGCAUUAGCUAGUUGGUGAGGUAACGGCUCACCAAGGCGACGAUGCGUAGCCGACCUGAGAGGGUGACCGGCCACACUGGGACUGAGACACGGCCCAGACUCCUACGGGAGGCAGCAGUAGGGAAUCUUCCGCAAUGGACGAAAGUCUGACGGAGCAACGCCGCGUGAGCGAAGAAGGUCUUCGGAUCGUAAAGCUCUGUUGUCAGGGAAGAACAAGUGCCGUUCGAACAGGGCGGUACCUUGACGGUACCUGACGAGGAAGCCACGGCUAACUACGUGCCAGCAGCCGCGGUAAU